This is a long non-coding RNA of Homo sapiens (human), 3203 nucleotides long. Ensembl annotates it as long intergenic non-protein coding RNA 2200. Lineage: Eukaryota; Metazoa; Chordata; Mammalia; Primates; Hominidae. The record is from Ensembl.
GAAGCAGAUGAAAGAGAAAGUUCUACAAGCGGUUGGAAGAAAUGGGUGCUCUGGAGGUCAGGGCUGAAGUGAGGAGUUUUGAGAGUUGAGGUUCAGGCUGUGAGGAUUGUAUCUCUCCCCCAGCAAUCCUCUGCCAAGUGAGCCCUUUAUAUGCAAGGCAGUUUAUAUCUCACACACCUCUCUGUGCACCUUCUGUUUUUAACUCCCCAGGAGUAAAUUUUUCAGCCUCUUUCUUUAUAGCAAAUUACACCAUUAAUGUCAUCCUGGCGAAUGAAACAAGAGAAUAGUAUUUAUCAGAGAAAGUCUGGUGAGUUGAAGUCCAAGACCCCAGGAAACAACUAGCCCUGCUGGGCUGCCCCUCCUUCGGAGUGGGACUAUAUGAUCCUCAUCAGGCCAAUCCACGUCACAGAAUGGUCUAGGCAUUGGAUGAGUGCCUCAAUCUGAGCCAAUGAAGGUCAUUGCUGAGACAUUUUACUGGUUGCCAGGCUGCAGGCAUCCCAGGCUUCCUGCUGCCCUCAUGUCUACAACCUGUCGUCUGGAACAUUCCAGGAGCCACUUUUAUCACUUGCAGCAAUCUUCUUCAAAUACCACAGACUGGGCAAUUUAUAAAUGAUGGAAGUUUAUUUGGCUCAUGGUUCUGGAGACUGGGAAGUCCAAGAACAUGGCACUGUCAUCUGGUGAGUUAUCUCAUGGCCUAAGAGUAAAAGAGCAAAUGAGUGCAAGAGACACAGAAAAAUUUGUGGUCAAACUUAUCUUUUUAUCACAAGCACACUCCUAUGAAAACUAACCCAUUCCCAUGAUAACAAUAUUAAUCCAUUCAUAAGGGCAGAGCCCUAGUGACCUAAUAACCUCUUAAAGGCCCCACCUCCCAAUACUGUUAUAUUGGCAGUUAAAUUUCAGCAUGAGUUUUGGAGGGGACAUUCAAGCCAUAGUCAUAUUUUCACCCAAAGAAUUUCCAGUCUACCUAGUCAUGAUCCCUCUGUGUGCAGGUGUGGGUGUUUGGGAGUUUCAAAGAAAAUAGGUUAUGCCAUUCUUGCCUUCUAAAUGCUUGCAUGGAAUGACUUGAUCACCUUUCUGAUCAUUUUUUCUCUUUGGAACCUACCUUGACUCUUGUCUCAUGGAGGAAUUAUUUAAAGUAGAUGACAAGACAAAAUUCUUUCUCCUUUUGGCUCUGAAUUCACCUAAGCACUCUUCUCCCAGAAUGCCUCCUAAGUGUACUGCAUCCUGCCAGGAAAUUUUACCACUCAGCUCCCAUGUAGGAGGCCAGGGCUCCUGAACUCAGGCUCCACAGUUUUAUUCUGGGCACAAGCAUAGCUAAUGAACAAGAAACAUUGCAGUGGAGCACUAUUAUAAUCACCCUUUCAGUUCACAGAAUUCAUGUCUUGAGAAAGCAUUUUCAGUAGCAGAUGAAAUAAGAAGAUUGAAAUUUGUAGGGAGUCUUACUCUGUGAUUAAUAUGUUAUAGAAACAAAUAUUGAUUUGUUGUUUGUUCAUCUGAAGUUUAUCUGCUAACCUCAGAAGAUAGUUUACUGAAGUAACCUUUGGUCACUGACAAUAGAGAACACCUGAUGUACUUACAUUUUUUCUAAUAAUAUAACAUCAUGUACCUAGUGAUAGAGGCAGGAGGCACACAAAUGCCUAGGCAGAUAGGGGCAGAUCUGCAGUAAAACCCCACCUCCAAGCCAAAGACAUUUUAAAUCCUGAAAGCCAAGCUACAAGUCAAAUCCACCAACUGGGUUGAGACCCUGUCUUCCCAUUUGGUGUGCUUUCCUCUGAUUGAUCCCCACCCUUCACCUAUUUUACAGAUACCUACCAUUCCCUAAUUGGUUUUUUACACUGUCAUGUCCACCUUUGAGUGGUGUCUUUGUUUUAACCUUUUUUUGCAUACUCACAAACCAAUCAACAUGCAUGCCCCUAUUCUGAGCCCAUAAAAGCCCUGGACUCAGCCACACGAGGGGAGAAAAACCUCCUGACUCCAGGUAGUUGACCACCCUCACAACCCCUCUCCACUGAGAGCUCUUUUCUCACUCAAUAAAAUUAUUCUCUGCCCCCUCACACUUCAAUUGUCAGCAUAUCCUCCUUCUUCUUAGACAAAGGACAAGAGCUCAGGACCCACCGAACAUGGGUACAAAGAAGGCUGUAACAGUGAUGGGGCUGAGCCAGCCUCAGAGCCACAGGCCAGAACAGGGCUGAGAGGGCUGUUAACGUGCCACCAUCCUCCUGGGCAGGGUUGUCACCAGCCAGGGGUCUCCAGCUGGCAGAAUGACCAAGAAGAAUCCUGCGUCACUAGCAAAUUGCCCUGUGAUAUAUUUCACAUUACUCUUCCAAACCAAGGCUUUGUCCUGUGGGGCUUAACUUCUAAAAAAAAUCUAGACUCAUAUCAUAAUGAUGUCAUCCUUAUAUAAAAUUAUAGAAGAGCCCUUGCUUUCUGAGCUCUCAGAGACAGUACUUCCUAACAUACAAAUUGCCUUCUAGCAAGGUUUGAAGCAGACAUUCUUUUCCCAACUACACAUGUUUUGCAAUGACAUUUAAAAAAAAUGAAUCCCACAAUAAUAACCAGAGAUUGUAUUGUUUUAUAUUUUCUUUAUAGUACAGUAAUACUACUAGAGUUAUCUCUCUUUUGAAUAUUAUCAUUAAUUCCAUUUUUUUCAAGUCAUGUUGAAAUAAUCAAUGCAGUUAAACAAUCCCAGAUAGACUUCAGUAUGGUUUGAUUUUUUAAUGUGAUUUAAAUUCAGUUACAAAGCGUUUCACUGAAAUGCCACUUAUUGAUUUGUGGCUUAAAAAGUUCCUUCUUGGUGACAGCUUAGAAGCCAACUUCACUGAAAACAACAGAUUGUACUGGUUUCCUUUAGAUAUUUACAAUACUUCAUCAAACCAGAGAAUUUAAUUGCUGUGAAGGGCGCUCUAGAGAUUACCCAAUCCAGCCCCAUCAUUUUGCAAUUGAGGAGAAUGAGGUUUACAAGAGAGAAAUGGUAGCUGAACUACAGUUACACAAGUAGUUAAGAGGCAGAAGUGAGACCAGCAACCACUUUCCUGACUCCUGAUCAAUUCACAAUUUUAUUUAUAAAUACUCUUAUGACACUUUCAUUGCUUCCAGUGUGAGUCAAUUUUUUAUAGUGGAUAAUCUGGAGAAUAUAAACUUAAAAUACUCAUGUUAUUGUUUUACUCUUUCUCCCUUUGAAGUACUAAUAAAUUCAAGACCUC